AACGAACGGUGGCGGCAUGCCUAACACAUGCAAGUCGAACGAUACCUUCGGGUCUAGUGGCGCACGGGUGCGUAACGCGUGGGAAUCUGCCCUUAGGUUCGGAAUAACAGUAAGAAAUGACUGCUAAUAGCGGAUGAUGACUUGGGUCCAAAGAUUUAUCGUCUAAGGAUGAGCCCGCGUAAGAGUAGCUAGUUGGUGCGGUAAAGGCUCACCAAGGCUACGAUCUUUAGGAGGUCUGAGAGGAUGAUCAGCGACACUGGGACUGAGACACGGCCGAGAGUCCUACGGGGGGCAGCAGUGGGGAAUAUUGCACAAUGGGCAAAAGCCUGAUCCAGAAAAGCCGCGUGAGUGAUGUAGGCCUUGAGGUUGUAAAGCUCUUUUACCCGGGAUGAUAAUGACAGUACCGGGAGAAUAUGCUCCGGCUAACUCCGUGCCAGCCGCCGCAGUAA
This 449-nucleotide ribosomal RNA is filed under the name uncultured bacterium. Its description in RNAcentral is "partial 16S ribosomal RNA". It matches the Rfam family "Bacterial small subunit ribosomal RNA", at positions 29 to 523 of the family's 1533-position model. The record is from RNAcentral.